RNAcentral lists this ribosomal RNA (429 nucleotides) under Chloroflexota bacterium. RNAcentral's name for it is "Chloroflexi bacterium partial 16S ribosomal RNA". It matches the Rfam family "Bacterial small subunit ribosomal RNA", at positions 355 to 776 of the family's 1533-position model. Lineage: Bacteria; Bacillati; Chloroflexota. The record is from RNAcentral.
UGGGGAAUAUUGCACAAUGGGCGCAAGCCUGAUGCAGCCAUGCCGCGUGUUUGAAGAAGGCCUUCGGGUUGUAAAGCACUUUCAGCGGGGAGGAAGGCGUUAAGGUUAAUAACCUUGGCGAUUGACGUUACCCGCAGAAGAAGCACCGGCUAACUCCGUGCCAGCAGCCGCGGUAAUACGGAGGGUGCAAGCGUUAAUCGGAAUUACUGGGCGUACAGCGCACGCAGGCGGUUUGUUAAGUCAGAUGUGAAAUCCUCGGGCUCAACCUGGGAACUGCAUCUGAUACUGGCAAGCUUGAGUCUCGUAGAGGGGGGUAGAAUUCCAGGUGUAGCGGUGAAAUGCGUAGAGAUCUGGAGGAAUACCGGUGGCGAAGGCGGCCCCCUGGACAAAGACUGACGAUCAGGUGCGAAAGCGUGGGGAGCAAACAGG